Molecule: ribosomal RNA, 502 nt
Filed under: uncultured bacterium
Lineage: Bacteria
Description: partial 16S ribosomal RNA
Rfam family: Bacterial small subunit ribosomal RNA
Source: RNAcentral
GAUGAACGCUGGCGGCGUGCCUAAUACAUGCAAGUCGAACGAAGAUCUAGCUUGCUAGAUCUUAGUGGCGAAUGGGUGAGUAAUACAUAAAUAAUCUGCCCAUAUGACUGGGAUAACUAUUGGAAACGAUAGCUAAUACCGGAUAGGUUGAUCGGAGGCAUCCCUGAUGAAUUAAAGUAGGAUUUCUACACAAAUGGAUGAGUUUAUGGCGCAUUAGUUAGUUGGUGGGGUAACGGCCUACCAAGACGAUGAUGCGUAGCCGACCUGAGAGGGUGACCGGCCACACUGGGACUGAGACACGGCCCAGACUCCUACGGGAGGCAGCAGCAGGGAAUUUUCGGCAAUGGGCGCAAGCCUGACCGAGCAACGCCGCGUGAGUGAUUAAGGCCUUCGGGUUGUAAAGCUCUGUUGUAAGGGAAGAACAUUCAGGAUAGGAAAUGAUCUUGAACUGACGGUACCUUACCAGAAAGCCACGGCUAACUACGUGCCAGCCGCCGCGGUA